Molecule: ribosomal RNA, 2875 nt
Filed under: Triticum aestivum (bread wheat)
Lineage: Eukaryota; Viridiplantae; Streptophyta; Magnoliopsida; Poales; Poaceae
Description: partial small subunit ribosomal RNA
Source: RNAcentral
AUUCGCGGGGGAAGGGGGCAUUAGUACGGUAGACGGGUUCGAAAAUCAGAUAAGGUUGAGGCGCAGAGGCGGCUCACUACGAAUAGGGAGAUGUUGUUGUGGUUGGCGCCUUCAAGUGUUUCGAACUCUUUGUAGGUAUUCUUUGGUGCUGCUAGCUCGACGACGGAUGUGCCUCCGCUGCGCGGCCUCCUCAUGGACGAUCGAUGCCGUCGCGCCUCCGCUGCGCGGCCUCCACCUCGACGACGAAGAAGAACAGCCGGCCUGUUGUGUAGAAGGGGCGGCUAGUGGCGCAGAAGAUGGCGGCAACCGAAAGCGGUCGGCAUGCAGUUCGGCGACGCAGCCCAUGGUUUAGCUCCCCCUUUCUAUUGUCAAUAGAACAAAGUUUUCAUGACGUGAGAUCAUAACUAAUGUUUACCUAUGGUUUUAACCAUGAUAUUUGUUCCAACUAGAUCUUGCGUACCACGAACUAGCUUCACGUCUCGGUUGUAUGGAAGGUAAUAGUGAAAACCUUCUGUAGUGUCUAACAAAAAGGCUACUAGUUGUUUAACCGUCGCCACCUAAAAGAUAUCAAAUGUUCCCUUACCACCCCCUUUUCUACCAGCGACACUUCUUUGAUAGGGUUUGCUACGUACUCUUAUUUAAGGUGUUUCUUCAACUUACGUAAUGCUUCCGGUUCGUGUUUUUGUAUCACGCAAAGGAACCUAUGACAAGACUGUGCGUUCCCUCUUAGCUUCUAAUGCUUCCUUUCAAACAGUACCGUCUACAUGCUUUGACCAACGAUACAAAACUCAUGCAUGGCUUACCUUCAGAGUAGCUCAUAUAAUGGCUAGGUAGAGCACCUGAACUUACCUCUCUCGCUAUGGUUUAUUAAUUCCCUUAGACACUCCCUGAUGAAGUAGAAGUGCUCUUCGCAUAGGAGGUGGAUCUAGAGUUCGGAUCAUUAUAUAACUAACUAUAAGUGUACCAUGGGUUUUAACGACUAAAACCGGAGAGUUCCACGGAACUAUUUCUGGUUUGGGCACUGAAGUGAAGUUUGUAUACACCUAGUGACCCUAUGUACCGUGGGCUUAAGAAGUAUCCUGUUCAGUGUAAACGUAGUCUGUAUAUGUCAGAACCAUAAUAUUAAUACCUCUAAGACUGUCCCCUCUUCCCCAUAGUCCUUCUUGUCCUACAUCAACUCUUAACCUACUUAGCCAACCUCCGUCGUCUAGUUUUCCUCUGCGUCAACCUCGUUCAUUCUCAUACGUGAUGCUAUCCCUAUCUCACGUACCUGGGAUUGGGUUUCUUCUCUGGCAAACGUGUAGUAUAUCAGUUAUUCGAACUAUUUUGCCGUUCAUAGUAGCUUUGAACGUAGUGAUCAGGUAGACAACUCGUAGUCCAAUCUAGGGAUUUUCUUGUUGUGACAGUUUCCUUUUAACACCUAGAAAGUGAACUCAUGGAGGAUUUUCUUGUUGUGUCAGUUUCCUUUUAAAACCUAGAAAGUAAACUCAUAGAGUAUUUUCUAUACUCGCCCGCGUGAUUUUGCCUUCUUGAGUACCUUAAAUAACCCCGUAAGUUUCUAGUAACCGCCGUGCGCUUUCUUGUAGUCACCAGUGAUGCCCCUCACGUUCCAUGUUUCUUUUUAUGGUCGGUUGUUGUUCCCCGUUCAUAAAGAUCGAGAUUGAGACAACACGAGUUGUUCAACUUGUAGAAAUCAUGUUUUCGUGCGUCCUUAAUACAGUCCUUACCACCCGGAUACGAACUCUUCUAUCUAUACAACUUUGAAAAGUUCUUCCUCCUCGAAUUCGGUCGAUAAUUACUGUUCUUGGCAUAACCUUCUCUACAGAAACUUCUUCAAAUGUAUCCGGAACAACUAUCUCAUGGUCAGUAUCAUUUCUUCGUCUAAUCACCAUGACACGAUGUUUUACCUGUCAAACGUUUCCUUCAGUAGUAGGUUAGAGUUCAAGAGGUGUUCUUGUAACAAUCCGAGUAUCCAACAACGCACCUUCAACUGUAGGGCUACGAUCAUAUACUCAUAGAGAGGUUUCUGUCGGAGGUACUGUAAGAAGUGUUGUUGACGUUCCAUGCAGAGUUGAACCCGCACGCAAAUUUAUAACGGUGUCUUAGUCGUGCACCAGAUCGAAUAUACGUAAGUUCCGUAUUAUAGAAUGUACCAUUAUAAUUUAGUCUUUUAUAUGAGAACCUACUGGUAAAACACGGUUUCUAGAGUUUAAAAACGUAUAGUUCCAACUGGCCCUCUCCGAUGUUUGUGUGGUCUUGUCAGUUCCCGCUGCUAGGAAUAUACCUAGGUGAUAUGGAUGUUUGUCCGGAUGAAUCGCUUAUAUCACUACACAUGUCAAAACCUCAGCAAUACAACCUUGAAGAAUGGUCCUUCUUCCGGUGUGUGAGACCAUUAUUAUCGAAUCAUUCCUUAAAGGAACUCUUAGUGUUCGUCCCAUCCUUUAGUUGGCUCGAUAAGCUACUCUUUUAACGUCACUACCUCUUAGACCUCGAAGAACUGUUAGACCGUGUUGAACAACACCUUACGGAAUCGGUUUUGAACCUAGAUUCUGGCUUUUACUAUCUACAACGUUUCGCCGAGGUGUAUGACUUACUUAGAGCACCGGUCACCCAGAAUUCAACUGUUCAGCUACGUAAAUGAUCAAAUCAAACUUGAAGUUUGUUGUAUAUACAACGCCGUUUAUUCGAAGACUAUCCACGUUAAUAUCUCCCUACACACUACUAGCUGCACAUUAAAUACAUAAAACAACAACACUUGUUGAGAAACUUUAGGAGAUCUCGACAUUUUCAUUUUGUGCGAUUUUCGUUGCGGGAGCAUCCGGAGGAGCCGGGACAGCUGGGUGACCAUGUUUUUGGAGACAGUCUAACAAGCGAG